UUCCCUUGAAGAUACUGCCAAAAGGAAAUAAUUGACAGGAUUUUAUCAGUCACUCUCCAAGCUAUUACUUUCUAAAAAAUGGUGGUUGUCAAUUCAGAAGCUAAGGAGCCUGGUAUUAAUUAUCCGUAUUCUGCAUUAAUUAAUUACCUGAUUAUAAUGAGUGAAGGGAUCUCCAUCUUGGACCCCGGAUGCACUCGUGGGAUCAACUUUUUGCAAUUUGGUUUAUGAUCAUACCUCUCUUGGCCCUUUGGCUAAGAUUGAACGUGCAAUGUGAUUUAUGAUCAAAUGCUUCAUCUUCGGUUUGUUGCUCGAGUUAAAGAUAAUAAAUUUGCUAUAUUAAAUUAGGUAGAGCUUAAUACCUUGCUGUUUCCUUUGGUGUACUCCUAAAUAUAAACAGAUCCAUGGACUGAUAGUUGAGGUCAACAUGCCUAGAUAUUGUCACGCGUGCCAUCUGCCAUAAAUAAAUAAUUACAUGGAAGUUUGGAAGUCAGUUAGUAACUCUUGAUUGAUGGCCAAAAGGAAAAGUUAACUACAGGUGAUCAGUUUGUCAUGAGCGAGCAUCCAUAUAUGUAUGUGUUGUUUAGUUUUAUCUAUGCCACCUUUCUCGUUGACAUUGCUCAUUUUUUUAGCUUUUGCAAAUUUGGCACCAUCAUUAUCUUUGAGCUUUCUCUGUCAUGAGAUGAAUGUAAAGAUUCAGAAUACAAACUCUGUGUUGCUUGAUUCAAUUUGUCAUUUGUGGAAUCUUGUGUCUUAAUUCUUCUCAUUUUAGCUUAUUGUACUUUAUAGAUAGCCAAAAAAGCGAUGGUAAUAAACUUAACUGGGCCAAAAUUGGUUUUCUUCAUGACAUGGAGUAUACUGCAUACCUUACAUCAUAUCUUUAGCACUUGUCAGUUGCAUUUGUAAGUAUACUGUUCCUAUUUAUCCAAGUUCUGAUACCAUCAACGCAAAGCGAUAACAAAAUGGUUUUCCUUUUUCCCUUUUUGUUUAAGGACAAUGGUUGGACUGAAGAAUGAUUAACCCUACUUCCCUUAUUGAUGCAGAAUACGUAAUUUAUUUACUGGACAAGACCAUUGCAAGGUGCGCAACAUACUCAUUGCGCUUUAUAAAACAUGCAUGUACAGCUAGUCUGUGUUAAUUUUUGAAUUUUGGUGUUGCAGGGGUCUUCAUUUGUUGGUAGCUAAAUUUUUUCGAUUAGUCUUGACAAUGAAGUUGUUUGUCAAUAAAUUUGCAAUUUCUGAGUCUUUUUUUUUUUUUUUUGGCGGGGGGGGGGGGGGGGGGGGGGAAACUCGGGAAGAUAUGUGGGAUGAUUGUAUUUGAUGUGCAGUGCAAAAAGGAAAAGUGAUCUUGGGUUGAAUAGCAGCGACAAUGGGAUUUGUGGGUGUCAUUAGACAAGUAUAUAUGGCCUUGUGCUUCUCAGUCAUAUGUAGGCACACUAGAAUUAACACACACAGAAAAUAGUAAUGAAAGAACUGAAUAUUACACCCGAACUCGUAUUCACCUUCUUAACUUUUCUAUCUCUCAUUCGUAUAGGACACGUAGAAGGAUUUCUUCGCCGUUGUGUAUCUUUCCAAUGUCCUUUAAAGGAUGUGACAAUUUUGUGGAUCACCUCUUAAUAAAUUGAUCAGUCGAUAGAUAUAAUUUCCGAUUGUAGAUCCUUGUGUAUUUUUUGCCUGUACUAGUAAUUGGCAUCUCUAUUUUCGAUGCUUUCUGUUUCUGUCCUUGCUUUCUCAACUCUCUCCAAAAUAUUCCUUAUCUACAUUGGAAAUUUCUAGACAUCUGCAAACCUGUUUUCCCCCAAUAAAAUUAGGAAUCUACCUAAUGCUGAUGAGAAUCUCCUGCUUACAAAGAGAGUUAUGCUUUCUUUUUGCUGAAUUAGUGAAUCAUGUUUCCUGACGAGUACAUGUGAUUAUUGAGGUCCUGCUUUUUCAGUUAAUCGACUAAAUCAGGGUGUACGCAUUCCGUUUCAGUUCUUUCAAAGGACGGGAAAUAGGGAAUGAAAAGAUGAUUGUCAUUCUUGAUCUGCAAAACAUAGGUUAUAAGAAUGUUGAUGCACGUGGCCUCAUCACUGGAUUUCAGUUUUUACAGGUACUUAUCUCACUUCAAGUUUUGUUUCUUGUUAAUCUCAUGUAUCUGUCUGCUAGUCCUUCAGACUAGAUCCAUCUGCUUGUAGAUGAGAACACGCAUAGCAGCGAGGAGAAAAUUCUUUUGUUCUUAUGAGAUUAUCUAGUCUGAAAAAAGAUCCAAAUGAAUUAUAUUGUAUACUCUCCACUUCACUUGGAGUAAUCUACAAACUAAAAGCAAAACAAAUGAAAGAAGAAAACAACAACUGAAACAAAAUGCUGCUUAAUAAUUCUCCUCUUGGUAAUUUUUUUGAAAACAAAAUGCUGCUUCAUUGUCUGAGAAGUCCUCUUAGAUUUGCAUUUACAAAUGUCCAAAAAUGUCACAAGACCGAGACCAAUUAAUCAGGAAGAACACUUUUUACCUCCUCAUUUUCCCAAACACAGAUUUCCCUCUAGCAGCUUUUCUUAGAGCUGUUCACUUGGCUAUAUUGAAAUGUUCGAUUAUUAUAUUCUUUUUCCAAAUUUUGAAUUGAAACAGUGCUCUUUUCUCAAGAGACUUUUGGAUCUACAUGAGAAGAAAUAUGACCGUUUCCUGCACCCGGAGUACCAUUCUUGAAAUGAAUUUGUAAGCUAGUUAUGGGUGAUAUGAUUGAUGUGGGGCAGGCAAUGAAAAUUUUCCACGUCAUUCUAGUGCAAGCUACUGCACUUAGUUCUAUCAACUUUGGGUAAUUCAAAACAUGUUAUAGUACAGCAAACUAAGCUAUUCAAGCCUACUCUAAAACUUUGGCUUCUAUCACCUAUUUGAGAAACUGAUGCAGUCUAGAACUUUUUUCUUUUGGCAAAUGCAUUUAUUGCUAGUCAGAACUUAUACUGUGAGUCUUAUAUGUAUCAAAUGGUUGAUUCCCAUGGAAAGAGAAGACAAGAUUAUCAGUCUAACUCAGAGAUACGUCUAAUUUGCAAGAUGAAAUCAGAACUUUCACGGAAAGCCUUAAUGCAUGAACUUGCAGGGGACAUCAUAAAGAACUAACUCCCAGGCACACAAUUUGGAACCUCAUGUUUAUAGUACAUGCUAAGUCUGUUGACUUGGAUUUUGUCGAUUGUCUUUCUUCUUUUUGCCUUGAUCUAUAUCUGUUUAAGCCUUCUUUUUUCCAUUUUGUAUUGAGCUUUUUGUGCUUCAGUUUGAAGCUUUAAAACAGAGUUCUUCCAUUUAAUUCUUUUAGAAUUAUAUCCCCCUUUAGCCCCUGUUCUAAUUGGGUUAAUUUUCCCUUCCCACUUCAAGUUGUAUCGAUCUCUAAGGGUAUGUGAGAUUCAAUUGCUGCAAGUGAAAAAUCGUUGACUGUCUUGAAAUUGCAGCCAUAAGUUGAUCACGUAACUAAUCUUAACCAUGGAAUGUAGACUAACCUCAGUAAUGUCAUUUCAAAUGUUCUGUAGUUAUUGGAUUCAAAGAGAAAAGCUCAUUGAGUAAAGUGAAAUCUAUCUAUCGAAGUAUCGACAAUAAUUAUCCAAUAACUCCAUUGGUGUUAAGCAUCAGUUGGACAAGAAGUAGACAUUAUUCUUUAGCUAAUGGUUCUACCACUGAAAGUUUGAUGCCAUGAUAUUUACAUUCCUCUGAAUCAUGGGCUUCUUAUUACGCAGGCUUACUAUCCUGAGCGCCUGGCCAAGCUUUUCUUUCUGAAUAUGCCAGGCUUCUUUGUCAGUGUUUGGAGAAUGAUUUCUCGAUUCCUCGAGAAGGCAACAAAGGAAAAGGUGCACUUCUUUUGCCUCUGCACAUAAUUAUUCCGAAUCAAUGCAUAGUUUCUCUCGUUUUGCUCAUUAUUCAAAUUUUGGCCUAAUAUGAUUUAUGCAUCCUCUGCACCUCUUUUUUCCCUUGAUAGGAAGAUAGUAUCACCAUAGGGCACCAAGGGGGUGCAAGCACUUGUACAAAAAGAACUCAAGAACUUAAAAAGGAGCUCAGUCACAAUACAAAACAUCUACAAUGUCAAUCAAAGCAUUUGCAUCGAUGAGUAAUUUUCCACUAAGCAAAAAUAUAGGAUUUUGAAACCGAGCUUUCAAUAAUUACAAAAAUUGAGAAUGCCUCUCCUUCAUAGGCUCUCUUGGCUUGAUCUCUCCACAUCUGCCGAAAAACGGAAGAAGGAAUAUGAGCAUGAGACGCACCUGAUGAUAAUACAUCUUAAACAAUAUCUACUUCACUAAUCUUGCUUGUCAAGCAUUGUCUCCUAAUCUCGACCUUAAUUCUGAAAUAAAUUCUGCAGAUCGUGAUUGUGAGCAAUGAAGAUGAACGAGAACAACUCUUCAAGGAAAUUGGCGCCGAAGUCUUGCCCGAAGAAUAUGGUGGGCAAGCAAAGCUUGUGCCCAUACAGGAUGUUGUUUUGCCCCCUUUGGAUAAUUAAUUUUAGUGACUGGAUAAAAAAAUCUUCAUUUCUUGGUUAAAAAGGGGAAGUAAAAAAGGAGAAUAAAAAGAGCAGCUGCAAUCUCGGCAUCAGCUUCCCCGUAUAGUCGUAUGUACUCGUAAUGUAUUUAUAUCAUUUUCAACAGACCUGUUAUGUACGUAUCAUGUAUGUACUAACUUGCUGGGCAACUUUAUAUGCAUAACUAAGGUUGCUGUUGAUUUUAAGUAUCAAUCACUUGUUAAGGAAGUACAUGCUUUCAAAACCAACAUAGUUCAUUGAGCAGGCUAAGCAAAUGUUGGCGAACCAAAUAUCGAGAUAUAUCAACAGAGUAAACAAUUUGUGCUCAACGAGAAACCUCGAAUCCUAGCCCUCGCUUUAGUACAAGAAUGGACACGGCCAAGUGCCAACUACCCAGAUAAUCGUUACUGUCCGUGUAGUGCUAAUUUGUGCUACUUGCUUUCUAGGUAUGGAGUGCUUGUAUUUCAAGGAUUAGCAGUUUAGCGAUGAAGAAAGUGAGGAUGGAAAAGGAGGGAAAAGAGAAUAAGUGAACAAGGACGUGCAGAAGAGGGAAAGGUGCAUUCGUAAUUAUGUGCUUCAAGCACCUUGUCAAGGGGAUUAACUGGGUCCCGUUCGGAUCAUGUCCCAGAAAAGCAAACCAUUCAUUUGUCUUGCCCACGAAGGGGUGGUUCAUGAUGUGACCAAUCUAGCCUAUUGGACUAGGUUAACUAAAUAUUAAAUUAUUAAAGGAUUUAAAUCAUGCGUACAUCACAUGUUUCUAUAUAAGUCAUUUUAGUGUAAAUCUCAAUAUCCUCCAUUUUGCAAUAUAUUUUAUCCGAUUGGGAUCUAUAGACAUAAAUUACCUCUUUUAUACUUUAGCGGUACAGACCAUCUCUUUACAUUGUCCAUUUGCAUCCUGAGCUUGAUAAUUAGCAUGUUGGGGAGGAUCCUAACUUCAAAUUUAGUCAUAUGACAUAGACGGGUUGUUGUUUGUUGAGCUUAACUCCAUCAUGUUAAACGUUAGGAUCUCGAUUGAUCAUAUCAAUCUCUGUCAAGUGACGAAAAUUCCUAGAUCUUAUGUCGGGGGUGGCAAUUAAGUUAUGUAAAUGCCUCUAUUAUGGAGUAAUAUGAAUUAUUAUACCGAAGGACAUAAGCUUUCUUUUCACCGGAUGAGGUAGCUGCCUUCUUCAGUUGCUCCUACUUGCCAUGGUGGUGAUGGUUCGAUUUCUCCUAUAAGGGAAUUAAUAAACAAAGCAUACCCGGAUUAAAAAAAGAGAGAAGAUAAGAGUAUACCCAAGUCAUGUGGGUCACGCUAAUUAUUCCCUCCUUUUGUUUUAGCUUCCCCACCGUGAACUAAAAGGGCAUGUUUUCGAGCCAUGUUCUAGAUUGUUUUGUGAUCAGAUCCACUAUGAAAAUCCUGCAUCUUUCAGAGGUUUGACCAGAUGAGAAAGCCCGCCAAUGGCAAUCCUCGGAUGGGCUUAGAGGGGGUGAAUUGGUUGACCUGACCUUUUGAGCUUUCUUGUGGUUGUCAGUGUGUAGAUGGUGGAAAUUGUGGUAUAGGAGGUGUGAUAAAUGAAAAACUUUGUAUGUACAUAAAAUAAGCAAGACAGUAUGUAAAAGAUACGGAAAAUAGACUUAUACAAUCAUCUGUAAUCCCUCCAUUCGUAUUGUCUUCCUUUGCUAAUAGCCCAAUAAAAAUUGAGAUCUAAAAUAAGAAAUCUUGUGAUGUUAACCAAGUCACUAGAAAAUGUUUCAAGUUUGCCCACACCGAUUAACUUAUAAGCGAUCGUCCUCUGUAUAUGUUCAAGUGCAUUCAGAAUCUGUUGUAGGUUCGAAUGUAUGUGCGGACAUUUCAAUUAUCUCUCCGCCUUCAAAAUCAUCUCAUUCUCCUACAUGUUUUUCCACAGCACAUAAUGUACACUAAAGUGGACAUAGCAGGAGUGGAAGCUUGUGCGAUGGACUGAAUCACAGCCCGUGGGAAGAGAGAGGGAAAGACUUCUGAAGAUGGCAUCUCAUCAGGGAGGGAGAGAGAAGAACUUCUCAAGGUGGGGGAUUUUUAAUCAGGGGAAAGAGAGGAACUUCUGAGGGAUGGUUGACUAGUACUGUUGACACACUUGGCUUUCUUAUGUUUUCACCGGUCUUUUCCAGAGUUCUAAAUAAUAGGUCUCGCUUCUUGCACUUCCACGCAACGCUCUCUACCUUCAGCAAUUCAGCAUUUUGGCGCACCUCUGUCAAUUCUCCGUCCGGGUGAGUCCCCGAUCUCUCUCUGUCCAUUCAUGCACUCACUCCCACAUCAUCGGAUCAUCUCGCUCUCUCGGUCCGUCUUCUCAUUUGGAUCACGUUUCUUUUUCGAACAUGCGCGAGUUCUAUAGUGAUUAGUGAUGCAAUAUUUGGGAGGUGUAUGAUCUUGUUAUGUUCGAUCCACCACCACCAUCAUUAUUCUCGAAAGAGUCUUUGCCUGUUGCAUGAGUUUGUACUAAUUGAAUUCUCUCGUAAGCUAUUGUUUUCUGUGUUCUUUUUUGUUUUUUGUUUUCAAUUACCUUGAUUUGAAAUCUUAUCACAGCGAUGUUAUUUGUUUAGGAUGUUAUUAUACUGCCAAAGCAUUACAUUCUAUAGGUCCCUUAUACUUUAGUCAUGUCAAAGCUAGUUUAAUUAAUAGUGUAUAGGAAAACAACUAUGAUAAGAUGGAGAAGGAUAGGUUUGAAAUUGAUCUUUGCAUAAGGCUCUGUUUAUUUAAUGUUGAAUCUAGAGUGAACCCAUUGUGAGUUCAAUGAUCAACAAGAAUUGAAGAGAAGCAUUUUUUAUCUACUCUCUAUCCUUUCCUCAGAGUUUUUCCUUUUUCAAAUAUGUUUGAUCUUCGCUUCUCAUUUUUUAGAUCGAAUUUUAGCCUAUGUAAAAAUAAGUUGGACCGGUUUCAUUGACACGUGUGACUUUAUUUUGGUAGAUUGAUGAAUUCAGUCAUUUUUGUGGAGUUCUAACUUUUGAAUGUUUGCUUGUUCAUUUAAGCUUUUUUUCUUCAUGUUAUUAUUAUUUUUUUUUUUUGGGUUGAAUCCAAUAGUUAGCUUGUGAUUUUUUCUUGGGAGAGAAUAGCUUGUGAUUAUUUGGUGAUUUUUGAAUUUGGAGUUGAGAAAUAAAUUCUUUAUUCCUCCAAAAGGUUUUUUUCUUGGUCGGAUCCUCCAAAAGGUUUGAAUUCGUGAAUAAAGUUGUUCCCGUGAUUCUAAUUUUUUUUUCUGAAAUUCAUUUUUAUGAUUUUCAUUUUUUCCCCUUCUAUUUGCUGACUCAACGUCCACCGGGGGACACGUCAUGGCCAAGUCGACAUUAAGUAGUAACGAUUUAAAAAUUUACUAGCAUCAAUACUUUGUAAAUUGUAAAAACAUAGAAAGUAAAAUAAAAUUCACGGAGGCGCGUGAGCUGACGCGCCGGCGACUGCUCAGCGCGACUGUCCUUCUUCUAUAUGCUGACUCCGGCGUUGACAGUAGUCGAAUCUCUCUCUCUGUCUCUCUCUCUCCCUCCUCCUCCUCCUCCUCUCAUGGCUUUUGCCACGACGGAGCCUCCGGAGAUGGACCGCGACGUCCGGUGCAAACCGCGGGCCCGCUGCUUCAGGCCUCGGCGGCGGCGGCGGCGGCCGGCGCAUCGGCUGCGAAUGCCGAUUCCACGUAAGAAUGCGACUUCUAUGAUCGCGACACUCGCUCUGUCGGCUUGAAUUUCGAACUUUCGGAUGGUUCAUCUCUGCGAUCAUCAUUUCCCGCCUUCUCGAGCGGAGUUUUCUUACUCGAAUCCGUCCUAGAUGUUUCAAAAGCCUCUUCCGGCUUUCCUGCUUGCUAGGAUGUUCUUACGUUUCGUAAUUCGGUGGAAGAUGCGUGGCCCCCGGUGGGGGGGGUAUGAUCGGGUCGUUCCGGUGAGGGGGAGGCGGAGCUAGGUGCUAGUGAUGAGUCAGAGAACACAUAUGCUUUGACUGCGCACUUCAUUUGAAAUAGACAGUAUUGGAUUAAGAACCAAUUUUGCGUUUGUUUUGGACAUAGAUCGAUGAACUCGUUAGGAGGAAGCGGAUCAACGUGCUUGUGUUGUUGUACUUGUCUCGGUGAUCUUGAGGAUAUGAAUCACAUCCUGCCGAGCGUGUAAUUUGGUCAUGCAAUCGUAUAUGAGACUUAGCCCCUGUCGAGUUCCCGCAUAGUUAUGAGGUGUUAGCUAGUUGAUGAGUAGCGAAUAGGCGCUUUUGAUCAUGUCUAGUCUUUGUUCUUGAAAAUGUGCCUAGAUGUACUUGCAAAUAGUUAAAGAGUAAGAAUUGAGAUUGCGUAGUUUGACUCUUUAGUUUUGGUUAUGUGGAACCCAAUCUGUCAUUCUUUAUGAGCAUUGCGCGGAGGCAAUAUCCAUGUUAUGUCUUCAACUUCAUUCUUGUUUUCUGUGUUUAUUUAUUUAUUUAUUUUUUCAAUUGCAGUUAGAGUCUUUGAGAUAGCAUGGGUAGGACUAUUCAGUUGUACGGGUUCUACUCACCAAUUAGUGCAAAAGCAGUCAAGGAUUUUCUGGAGCAAUAUACUGGCAAGAUGACUGUUUAUGCAGUGGAAGUUCAGAAACCAAGAGUUGGAAAGCGAAGAACAUGUGCACAUGUUCAAUUUACUGAUAAAUUUUAUGGCGAAUAUAUUAUUUCUCUUGCUAAUGAUGAGAAUCUCUGGUAUGGCAAUUCAUAUAUAAAGGCAAUGGAACGAGAUUCUGAUGUUGUUCCAAAUCCCAAGGUCUUUCAGCACUCCCUGGAUAAUGUAACUUUGCAUUUUGGAUGUCAGACUUCUGAGGAUAUGUUCACUGCCUUGUGGGAGAGCCCAAAUGCCUCUGUAAAAUUUGGAUUUGGCAUGAGAAAAUUGUUCUUCUUUCUAACCUGUCAUUUUGUGGACUACAAGCUUGAGCUCUCCUAUGAGAAUAUUUGGCAGAUUCAGCUUCACCAACCAUGUGGUUCAACUCUGAAGUAUCUAGUCAUUCAGGUUUGAUGCUUCAACUUAAUGCUUGAAGUUUUUAAGCCAUAACAUCGAAUUGCUAUGUUCUUAUCGGUAUUGGAUAUGUUGAUGAAUUGUAUGCGGUAGGAGGGCCUAAACAGUGCAGGUUGUAGUGAUUCACAAUAUAUAAAAGAACUGCUGUUUUACUUCUCUAAGGGUGAUACUCUUUCUAAGAUGUUUGAUUUAUGAACUUCCCCCAUCCGCAUAUUAUUGGUAGAGCAGCAAUUUUCCUCUGUAAUAGCACGAUGGUUUUAUGUGCCCGUCAAGCUGGACACUACUAAUUCUUUUUUUUUUCUUUCUGUGGUCUUAUUUCACCAGUUACUAGGUGCCCCUCGGAUCCAUGAAAAAGAUUCCCGCUCUCCCAAAUAUUUUAUGGCAGCUGCUGAUGACCAAUGGGUUAGGGAAGUUGAUUUUACCCCAUCUUUCUGUAUUGGCCAAUCUUCGUCUUUGUGUUUGGAACUUCAGCAUGGUCAUCAGCUUCCUGAUUUUGAUAAGUAUCUUGAUCACUACAAAGAACAGAGUAGGUGGUUCACCCUGAAAAGUGCCCCUCCUCGUACUUAUCGUUCAGAUCUUGUACCUGUUGUGCUUCCACCAGCUGGAGUUGCAUUGCCAUAUGGAAUCUUGUUCAAGGUCUGUUCCUUGGUUCAGCAUGGGUAUCUACCAUGGCCUGUUCUGGAUCGAAAAUUUUUCCGGCUGGUUGAUCCGAGAAGAAUGGACAUGAAUGUUGCUUGCAUAGAACAUGCUUUGGAAAAACUGGGUUGUCUAAAAGAUUGCUGUUACCAUCCUGUAACUUGGCUUGAGGAGCAAUAUCGGCGGUAUCUGGGUUCUGACCAUAAACCUACAGCUGGCACUCUUUCUCUAGAUGAUGGGUUGGUGUAUGUGCGUAGGGCUCAAGUAACUCCUUCUAAGAUGUAUUUCUGUGGUCCAGAAGUGAAUGUUUCGAAUCGGGUGCUGCGUAACUAUCCUGGAGAUAUCGAUAAUUUUCUCCGUGUUUCUUUUGUUGAUGAGGAGCUUGACAAAAUUUAUUCAACAAAUUUGUCUCCACGUAACUCUGCAAAUGAAGAAAGGCGGAGUGGAAUUUAUAAGAGGAUAGUCUCAACAUUGAGAGAUGGGAUUGUUAUUGGUGAUAAGAGGUUUGAGUUUCUUGCCUUUUCAUCAAGUCAAUUACGUGAUAGUUCUCUUUGGAUGUUUGCUUCCAGUGAAGGGCUUACUGCAGCAGAUAUAAGAAAGUGGAUGGGGGAUUUUCGUAAUAUACGAAAUGUGGCAAAAUAUGCUGCCAGACUUGGUCAGUCCUUUAGUUCGUCAAAGGAAACUCUUAACGUCAGGAAAGAUGAAGUUGAAAGGAUACCAGAUGUGGAAAUUAGAAGGGGUGGAGUUAAAUAUGUUUUCUCUGAUGGUAUUGGGAAAAUUUCUCACCAAUUUGCUCUGGAAGUGGCUAGAAAAUGCGGUCUUACAAUUUCAACCCCAUCUGCAUUUCAGAUUCGAUAUGGUGGGUUCAAAGGUGUUGUGGCGGUGGAUCCAACUUCAUCAAAGAAAUUAUCAUUAAGAGGCAGCAUGCUCAAAUACGAAUCAUCAAAUACGAAACUAGAUGUUUUAGCGUGGAGCAGGUAUCAGCCUUGCUUUCUUAAUCGACAGAUUAUUACUCUUUUGUCUACUCUUGGAGUCGAGGAUCAUAUUUUUGAAAGGAAGCAAAGAGAGGCGCUAUGUCAAUUGGAUGCUAUUUUAAAGGAUCCUCUGGUGGCGCAGCAUGCGCUGGAGCUUAUGUCUCCUGGAGAGAAUACGAAGGUUCUUCUAGAAAUGCUUAUCUGUGGUUAUGAGCCAGAUGUGGAACCCUUUCUAUCAAUGAUGCUUCGAACAUUCUGUGCAUCGAAGUUGCUUGACUUGCGUACCAAAGCAAGGAUCUUUGUGCCAAAUGGAAGAUCAAUGAUGGGAUGUUUGGAUGAAACAGGGACUUUGGAAUAUGGUCAGGUGUUUGUACAAUUCUCUAGGGUUGGAAAUUUGCAGUUUGGAAGCAAAACUAUGCUAAAGUCGAGCAGAAGUGAGUCGCCGCUCGACGCCUUUAUUUUUCAGGGAGAGUUGGUGGUUGCGAAAAACCCUUGCUUGCAUCCUGGAGAUGUCCGUGUCUUAAAGGCUGUUGAUGUUCCAUGUCUGCACCAUAUGGUUGAUUGCAUUGUUUUUCCUCAGAAAGGAAAGAGGUAAAUUUUUUCCUUUUACCGCUGCCUGCCGGUACUCAUUUUUUUUACCACGUCAGUUCUUCUCAUUCCUACCGAGUAACAAUCUAGGCAGUUGAGUCUGGAUGCAUCUCUCUCUGUUUUUUUCUUUUUCAAUAUUUAUUGUCUGAAACCUCUGGUCUCAGCCAACCGUUGGCCCCCCCAAAAAAAGGAGAAAAAACCUAGUGGGUUUGUUUGGGAAUUGUGAUUAUUUUAUAAAAAGGUGGAGGGUGCGCUAGUUUGUUCAUAAAGAUACCAAGGUGGUGUUGACAAUGUGCAAAUUUUUUUAUGAGAAAUAUUUUUUCAAGGCUAUCAAGGACAGAGUAUUAAGCAUGUGAAUGAACUGAAUGACGUAUCAGCAUUUUCUUUGUUUGGUCAUGUAUUUAUUUAUAUAGAUAGAAACAUUCAUGUAACUGGGGUGCGCAAAAGAUAUUGUACGAACAAACCCAUGUCGUCCAUCCUAGACAACCAUAUGUAAGCAGAUAAAAUCAUGAUCACAUUACUUCUCAACUCCAUUUUUUCCCCUAGUUGGUCAACUGGCAUCUCUGGCUAUAAGUAGAACUUGACAUAUUUCUUCAGCUGUGAUUAUCAUUGUUGCUCUCAUGUUAUUUAUUUAAUAGAUACCAAAUGUGGACUUUCUUUAGAUGGUAAGUUUCAUAAUUACAAGCAAUCAUGGAACGGAUCUAGAUUAGAUUUCCCUGUUUGUUCGUGCAAGUUCCUGCUCUGUACCAGAUAGCAUUUACACAUAAUCUACAUGAUUUUCUGAUAUUUUGCUACUAAUCUCCAGGCCACAUCCAAAUGAAUGUUCAGGAAGUGAUCUAGAUGGAGACAUCUACUUUGUUUGUUGGGAUGCUGAUCUGGUUCCUCCUUGUUUUUAUCCACCCAUGGAUUAUACCCCGGCACCUACUGUAACUCUUGAUCAUGAUGUCACCAUUGAGGUACUCAUUGGCCACUAACAGACAGCUACACCUAUUAUCUCUGAAAGCACAUGCAUGCUUGCCCGUCAACAUUACCUUUGAGAGGACCACCCUGGUGUAGUUUGCAUUCAUAUUGUUCGAGUGAUAUGCUUAUGUGCAAAAUAUCUUGUAUGAGGCUGCUGAAUGAGAUCAAUGACUUACCAAAAAAAAAUAAGAUCAAUGACUUUUAAAGAGCAGUUGCGGUGGUAAUUUAGUGUGGUUUUCUUUUACCCAGAUAUAUCAUAUUCUUUUGACAAGCAAUAUGAACAGAAAUUUUGCUAAAACCUCAGUUGGAUGUCCUAUAGUUGUCAGCUUUGGCAUUGACAUUCCAUGCUUUUUGGCUCUUCAAAUAUAUUUGUAGUCCUAAAAUACAAUAUGUAGCACGGGAUAGGCUAUGUUCUGGUACUUCUGAACGGAGAGUUUCUAUGUGCAACCAUUAGUCAUCUAUCAGGGAAACCAGUAGAUGCACAAGUGCCGGAUAUCACUAGAUCCCCUUGUAGUUUAUGAAGGAAUGAGAUACAUGAAAGCUAGAUAAUAUGUAUGGCACUGCUUAAUUCAAUUUAUUGGGGAACUUAGUUGGCAAUGUUUGUUACAAAGCGGAUAUCUGAGCAUCUACUCUGUUUUGUUAGCAUAGUGUAAUUCUUGUUGCUCAGCAUGUGAACCUUCUAGUUCUUUGACCUGUUAAAGAAUGUGUCCUUCUGUUCCGUAGGGUGUCUCUUCAAACUUUACUUGCAAAGUCUUUCUCAUUUGACAUUUCUAUAUUAGUUUCAUGAGGAACUUCAUUUGUUAGCAUCUGCUGCUAAUACAUACCUUCUUAGUGGAUAACUGAUAAACUCAUGCUAACCCAACUUAAUGUUUUACCAUCCAGGAAGUCGUGGAGUACUUCGCAGAUUACAUGGUCAAUGAUAGUUUAGGGGUUAUUGCAAACUCUCACACAGUGUUUGCAGAUAAGGACCCAAGUAAGGCGUGCAGCAAAUCAUGUACUGAGCUUGCAGAGUUAUUUUCCAUAGCAGUUGACUUCCCGAAGACUGGUGUUCCUGCUAAAAUUCCGUGUCAUCUGCGAGUUAGAGAAUACCCAGACUUUAUGGAAAAGUCUAAUAAGUCCACCUAUGAGUCUCAGCAUGUCAUUGGGAAGCUUUACAGAGAGGUCAAGGGGAUUGCACCACACACUAAUUCAAUAAAUUCCUUCACGAGGGUAGUUGCUCUGAGCUCCUAUGAUUGUAGAAUGGAAAUAGAAGGCUUUGAGGACUACAUCAUGGAAGCCUUUCAGUACAAACUUAAGUAUGAUUGCAAAUUGAGGAGGUUGAUGCAUUAUUAUGACAUCAAAACUGAGGCCGAAAUGCUGAGUGGGAAUAUCCUUACGAAGUCGAAAUAUUUUGAUAAAAAAAGAGACCUGGAAAGUAUAAAUUCUGCUGCGAGGUCCUUGAGAAAGGAAGCCAGGUCAUGGUUCGAUGAUACAGAGUCAGGAUCAGCUUCUGGAGGUGUUAAUAUUUAUGCAAAGGCAUCUGCUUGGUAUCAUGUGACCUACCACCCUAAUUUCUGGGGCCGCUAUAAGGAGGAGGCUCAUGAAGAUCAUUUCUUAAGUUUUCCGUGGUGUGUUUAUGACAAGCUACUUCACAUAAAAAGAGAGAGGGCUGCUGUAGAGAAGUUGGCAGACAUCAGCAUUUGACUGCAGAUUCUGAGUUAAAUUUUCUGAAGCAUUCAAGUAUAUCUUAGAUGUAUGUCUUCCUUGUGAAGGCAAAUUAUUUGCAUCAGUUCUCAUGUAAGUUCCACGGACAUGCUCUUAUGACAUAUGUCAACCUGUUAUAAGUUUGGUACCGUUGUGUAUAUGUGUGUAAUAAGUUUGGUACUAUUGUGUAUUACUUUUAUGUGUGAAUAUAUAUAAGGAACUACUUUUUAUCUCAGUGUCGUAGUUAUGGAGGCAAAUGAUCCAAUGUCGGUGCUAGUCUAUUCCAUGAAAACAGCAUGCAUGUCGCCAUAUUUUUUCAAGUGAAAGUUCUUUGUCCCCCUUCUAGAUUUCUUUACCAGAAUUCUCGAGAUAUUCAUAGUUCAUUUCUUUAGUUUCUCUCUAGGACUGCAUAAUGGGAUUUGAAUCUCUAGUGAAGCAUUCCCUAAGGCACUCAUCGACUCUAACAAGCGAUUGAUAUUGAAAUGGAAAUGAUGACAUUGAAAUCACCACGAAAGGACACUUAAUUUAGAUAUAACAGAGUAAUUUAGGUAGUAGCGAUUUUAUUCUAGUUAAUCGAACUUUAGGGCAGUAGAGUCAUCUUCAAAAGAUGCAUCAAUGGCGUUUGAGAACAAUGAACAUUAGAGUCCCUUCCUUGUAGCUCGAUUCCAGUAGGUGGCUGAAAUCCUGAGUCUUUUCCACAAGACGUCGAAAGAGUUCGUCGAUGAUCUCGCUUCUGAAGUGUUUGCUGAUGAUCCCCUCCAAGCCCGCUCUUAGGUGUAUCACAAUAUCUUGUGCAUGGAGUCCACCUUCAUACCUCGUUUGGGUGUUAAGCAGUUCCAUCUUCUCUAUGUGAAAACUACCGUCCAUUUUGACUAGCUGCGCAAUCUCCCUCGGAGACGCAGGAUACAGUGGCAUGUUGAAGCAAUCCACUUGCUCUUCACUUAUUAUUCCCUGCAGCGAAAAGCUCGCCCAUUUGUGGCUCUCCGUCAGUUGAAUGAAGUUAAAAGUUCAUGCAGUCUAAUGUUGAUCUCUCUGAUAGAUGACUAUCAUGGGAGAAAAUUUUAGUGGCCUAACAGAUAAGCUGUCAAAUCUCUGGAUUAGAAGAAUUGUGAAAACAUUAUUGAAAAAAAGGACAUUAUAAUCGAGUUGCAUAUUCUAAGAAACUUGAGUAGAGCUUCAGUUCUUGGAUUCGAGACUACCGUGGCGGUAUUAUUGGUCGUGCUGUCUAUAGAUGUGCAUAUGCACGAAACCUUUUCUUAAGUUGAAUAAACUUCACAUCCCAGGUAGACUUGUUUUUUCCUUCUUCAGUCUAAUAAAAGAUUAUAAGGAAAAGGUCGAACAGGAGUUGGGAGAUAUUGUGAUACCAUACCUCUUUGGCCAUGUCCAUGAGACUCAAUCCAAUGAGAUCAUACAUUACGCAUAUGGGUAUCUUAGAAUAUGGAACAUCUCUUUACACACUGUCCAUUUGCAUCACAAGCUUGAUAUUCAGCAGGUCAGGGAGGACUCUAGCUUCAAAUUUCGUCACGCGGCGUGGAUGUGUCGUUAUUUGUUGAGCUUAACUCCAUCGUGUUAGAAUCUUGAUUGAUCAUAUUGAUCUUUGUCAAGUGAUGAAAGUUUCUAGAUCUUCUAUUGGGGGUGGCGGGCACGUCAUGUAAAACCCCCUAUUAUGGAGUAAUGUCGUUUCUCGAAGUUUUCCCCCAAAAGAAGCAAAUAUGUAUAGAUCGGAAUGAAUUAUUUUACGGACAAGAAGAGUACCACCGGAAAAGGACAUGAGCUUUCUUUUCAUUGGAUGAGGUAGCUGCCUUCUUCAGUUGCUCUAAUUGCCAUGGUGGUGAUAAUUUGAUUUCUCCCAUAAGGGAAUUAAUAGAAAAAAGCAUACCCAGAUUAAAAAAGAAAAAGAUAAGAGUAUACCCAAAUCAUGUUGGUCCCGCUGUUGACACCUAGAUUUUGACGGUCCGUUUAGUCAUUUUUCACAUUAAAAUUAGGGUUUAAUCAAUAAUUAAUUAAUUGCAUAACAUUUAGUUAUAGGUGCAUUUAUUUUUUUUUGCAUUUACUGGACCGGUGGUGGAUGGGUUGAAUUAGUGAUUUUGGGUUUUAAAUUAAUUAAUUGGAUUAAGCUCACAAAGCGAGCAGGUUGGCCCAAGCCCAUGUUUUUUAUUGAAAAUUAUCUCGUGGAAAAUUGAGAUUUGAUGUAAUAUUACGGUAGUUUUUGACGUUUAAAAAAUCAUAUUGCAAUCUUAUCUUUGGUCUUUUUGUGAUAAAAUCAUUGGGAAUAUUAAGGAGGAUAAGGAAUAUUCUAAAAUAUUUUGUUGCAUAUGGAUAUCUCGAAGGAUUUUAGAAUUGGAUAAUGGAGUUUUAUCUAAAGUGAAUUAUUUGGAAAAUCUUCACAAAAAAUUUCAGUUUAUCUUCAAUCGCUGAGUCAGCAUAUAAAAUCUUCAAUGGUCGAGCGAGUCAGCUUGAAAGAUUUUAAUAGAUGAUUUCAAUGGCCGAGUGAGCCAGCAUGCACGAUAAUCUCGAAAGAUGAUCUUCAGCGAUUGAGUUGUUAUGCAAAUCUUCGUAGGUUGAGCAGACUAAGUUUCCACUCUAUAAAUAGGGGUGGUCUUCUCUUCGUCCGAAAAGGAGCUUCUUUUAAAAAAUUCAGAAAAAGUGAAAGGGGAGAGAAGCCAUCCGUGGAGGUUAAAAGGAAAGAAGAGGAAAAAGCAAAAAGCUUCUGCAGAAAAGCGAAGGAAGAGGGAGAGUGACGUGAGAGAGAGAGAGAGAGAGAGAGAGAGGAGAAAAGUAAAGGGGUGAUUUGACCCCUACUGUUCAUCGUCUUCCCAACUUGCUGCCCACGUUGCUGUUCCAGUCACGACGCCAUUGAUCCGACGCCCUCUCUGCUCGACACUACCGCGCCUCGCCGCUCACCCUCUUUUGGAGCAUCCGUCCGUGCACACCGCCUCCACUCAGCCGACGCCGCCUGGAACCCGAAGCCCACGACCUGCAGCUUGCGCCCGGCGGCACAGUGGUCUGCCUCCACUCAGCCUACGCCACCAUACCAGCACCUCUGCCCAGUCGCCGUUGUUGCUCUGAUUUGCUGACCCACGACGCCGAAACUAAACGCCGAGCCACUACGCACCCGUGGGACAACAUCGCUGCGACCCGCAACCCCGCUGUUCGCCGGUCACUGACGCCGCGCCUCCCUGUUGCUGCUGCCGCCCAGUCCGCGCCAAAACUCCGACGCCGGCUGUCUCCUUCGCCCGUGCCGCUCCUGUCUCGCCUGACCCGUGACCAGUUGGGCCUGCCUUCCAUCGCGACACCCACACUCGGAGUCUUCCGCCAGUCUUCGCCGGAGCUCUGAACGCCGAAGACCCAACCUCCGGUGACCCACCGAAGCCGCUCGACCGUAGGUGAAGAAAGCAGGAAAAGGAAAAAAAACAAAAGGAAAAGAAAUUAGGUAGCUUUAUUUCUAUUUUUCUAUUUGUUUUAUUUAUUUGUUUUAUGUUUUGGGAUGAUCUUUAUUUUAUGGAUUUAGUAUGCAUUAUCCGCAGGAAUUUUGUCUGGAAUUAUUAUAAUUAUUAAUUUGAUCCAAGAGACAUUGGAUCAUUUUUUUAAUUAUUUUAAUUGUUGGGCUUUCUGAGUAAAAUUUUAAUUGUUAAAUCACAAUGAUUAUUUAAUUUGGUCCGUAAGACUUCGGAUCAGAUUUGUAAUUAUUUUGAUCUCUCUGCUGUGAUAACUAUGGUUAGAAUAACUGUUAAUUUGACCCGUGAGACAACAUGUUAUUUUUUCGAUUAUUUUAAUCAUUUAUUGCUUGAUUUUGUUGAUAGUUUAGAUUUAAUAAUUACUUAUCUCUUAAAAAAAAACUAAAAAAUCAUAAGAUAAAAAAAAAUCAAAAUUCUACAUGAGUAUAUAGGUUUAGUAAAUCAAGCAUGUAGGUUUAACAAAUUAGGAUUUUCUUAGGAUUGCAUUUUUAAGAUUGCAUUUUUAGGAAUAAGUUAGGAUUGAACCUAAAUAUUUUUUAGGGUUUUAGAUAAUGUUCGCAUAUUCUAAUUAUCUCAUUUUCCCAAAAAAAUAGCUUUCUAAGAUAGGAUAGGGUUUAAGUCAAACUAAUCCCUAGAAUAAAUUAGAAAGUUAUCAUUUUUAGAUAGAUUAAUUAAGGUUUUCAUGAAUUCUGAAUUUCAAUAUAAAAAAUGCAAAAAUACUAGGUGCAUGUUAACUAGUUUGCAUAAUAGGAUUAUUUAAUCAAAACUUGUUAAUUAGUGAAGUUAGGUCAUGAGGUGCAUAAUAAUUAGUUUGCAUAAUAGGCCCAUUUAAUUAAAUUUUGCAUAUUAAUAAGAUUAAGUCAUUUGGUUUAAAAAUGCAUUUUCAUAAAAUCAUUCUAAUUUUUAAGAAAACCCAAAAAAAAUGAUUGCUUGCUUUGUGUGAUGCAAUUUAUUUAUUUGAUUGCUUUAAUAAUGGAUGAGCACCCGUGUGGUCACCACAUUUGCAUGAUAGUAAUUUAGGUUAAAAUAAAUCAGCUGCUUGCAAAAAUAUUUUGAAAAAUUAAAAAGAAAUGGUACCGAAAGGGCAUUAGAAAAUUCUAAUGUAACCAAGUCCCCGUACCCUUAGUCUUUGGUUCGUAGGAGUAAAAUAAAUCUCCAUUUAUUUUACUUAGGUGUCUAAUCGACCUACCAUAAACCGAUUAGUGUCGACUCCUAGAUAAUCAUAAAAUUAAACCUAAGUCGUGAUUUGGUAUGGGCUUGGGAGAGCCCGAGCUAAGUGUAAAAGCUUAGCAGUCCAUUAACCUAGUUUUAGGUGGUGAACCCGCGAAAAUUAGGUCGCGACACCCGCUAAUCAUUUCCCUCGCCUUUUAUUUUAGCUAUUUUAGCUUCCUCACCGUGAAGGGUAUGUUCUCCAGCCGUGCUUUUCAUUGCUUUGAUCAGAUACACCUAUGAAAAUGCUGCAUCUUUCAGAGAUUUGACCAGAUGAGAAAGCCAGCCAAUGGCAAUCCUCGGAAGGGUUUAGAGAGGGUGACUUGGUUGACCUGACCUUUUAAGCUUUCUUGUGGUUAUCGCGGUGUGUAGAUGGUGUAGAAUGAGGUGUAGGAGCUGGGAUAAAUGCAAAACUUUUUAUGCGCAUAAAAUAAGCAAGACAGUAUGAAUGUAGAAGACACGGAAAAUAGACUUAUACAGUCAUUCGUUAAUCGCUCAAUUCGCAUUAUCUUCCUUUGCCAAUAGCCCAAUAACGGCCGAUUGGGAGGAGCAUGUGAAGCAACCACAACCGCCGCACGAUAAGGCAAGUUCUUCAGGAGUGAACUGAGAAGAGACUUAGAAAGAAGUGAGACCAGAGAGAGAGAGAUGAGUUCAUUGCGCUUCGAUGCAUGUAAAAUUUCUACAGUUUGGUCGUUUUGACGUAUAAACUUACAUAGUCAUAAAAUGAAAAAAGUUCGAUUCAAUCGAUGCUUUUCUGGAACGAAAAUGGGUAUUUGUCUGGUUAACAAGUGCACUGAAGCCAUUGGCCAAUUUCACUGAAAAUAAGAAAUUAUACUUCUCGGGAGUUUUUGACGAAUGAAGGAAUGCAAAUUUGAAGGAAGUUAUGUACUGCAGAUGUUUAUAUUAUCAAAACAUAUUUAAUGAGACCUAACCUGUGUUGUAGGAGCAUACUUUAACGUCUUUCGUAGUAUAUAUAUAUAUAUAUAUUAAUUUUGUGUAGUAUGUUAAUAAAAUGAAUGGUUUUUUUUUACUGGAUUGCGCUCUAUUUAUAUAUUAAAUUAAAAAACAUGUAGUUAGAUAGUCAAAAGGAUCAGAAAGUGAAUCACACAAAUUUUUCUUUUGUUUCAUUGAACUAUGAGUUUAAGCUCACUUGUCGAAUGAAAAAUAAUUUUAAUGGUGAUGAGAUUUCAAAUAGGGCCAAUCGGUUUCGAACUUGGAACCUAAAAUCUAUCUUGUUAGAACCAGUUCUUAGUUUUUGAAAUUUGGAACUAACCUUGUUUACCUCAAAAUCGUCCCUAUUUUUUCAGUUCAGUUCUAAAGUCUACUCAAGAACCUGUUUUUCUUUAAUUUUUUUAUUUUAUUUUUUACAACAAAAUAAUACGAGUAAUAAAACGGUUCAAAGUAAUGCAAGGCAAAAAUUAUGAUUUGUAGGUUUUAUGAAAUUGGUUUCAAAUUUCUUCCAAUAGGUUUGGUUCCCAAGUGGUUCCUCACUCGGAACUAAAAUCAAAUUGAUUUUAGGGGUCUGAUCCAAUUACGCAGCCCUAAUUUUGAAAACCAUUACUUGUCACCCCUCCCUUUCAUCCUUUUCAGAUUUUCAUACUUCUAGUUUCUGAAACUUUUGAAAACAGAUUUUGAUUAUUUAAAUCAUCACAUAUAUGCCACAUAAGCAUCAUAUUAAUAAUUAACAGCCGUAUCAGUAACUCCAAUUAUAUUCGUAACGGGAAGACCAAUUCGAACAAAUAAAAAUAGAAUUUAAGGACUUAAUUGUAAAAAAGAAAAUAUUAAAAGACCGGAUCAAAUAUUUUGUAAGGUUAAUGCCCUGAAAAACCCUAAACUGGUAUACCUGUGACAAAUUUACCUUAAACUAAUUUUUUGACCACCAAACACAUUUGACAAAUUUAUCCAUAAUUGGUAUACUUGUGACAAAUUUAUUCUCUAUUAGUUUCUGUUAAAUUUUGACACAUAACAAUUAACUGGUGUAUCGGUUUAGGAUUUUACUUUCCGUUUGUCACAAUUGAUUUUUUUUUCUUGGCACAAAACUCUUUGGAGUUCUUGGUAAUUUUUGGUGGUAUUAAUCCAAUUUAACGGAGGAUAUAUUUGUCUUUAGGGUUUUUGGCGGUUGAAUAAAUUAGUUUGGGGUAAAUUUGUCACAAGUAUAUAUAUUUGGGAUUUUUUAUGGUCAGCUGUGGUAAAUUUGUCAUAGAUAUACUAGUUUGAGGUUUUUCAUGGUCAAAAAAUUAAUUUGGGGUAAAUUUGUCACACGUGUACCAGUUUGAGGUUUUUCAGAGUAUUAACCCAUUUUGUAAUGGUUUAUGGAAUUUAUGGUAGACAAAUUGUUGGGAAUUUGUAUCGAAAACAAUAAGACAUGCAUAGGUAAAAUUGAAUCAAGAUGAUUCGCAGUGGAAGAAAAAAUACCCCAUACAUCUAUCUCCAAAACAUUGUCUGUACAUUUUAAUAAGAAGCAUGUAGAAAUGAAAAGAAGGCUAAUCACAUCAUUAUCGUACUGUGCUAAACAUUUUUGGUUUUGAUGUUUUUUAGAUCCAAAAACAAAAGUUUGAUGUCUUCGUAGCAUAGGUCUCGACGUUCUUUAGAUCCAAAUCACAAACAUUCGAUCUCUUUGUAUCGUCCCUAAAGUAUUCCGAUUCUAAUGUUAUUUAGUUCUAGUCUCACAAAUGUCGGACCUCUAAUUCAAGUACUCCACCAAUCUCACAUCGAAUGGUAGAGAGAAGUUCGAGAGAAUUGUACUAUCAAUUGCUCUCGUAUGUAACUAAUUUGAUUGAUCUCUAGUCUCUUUCUCUCACUUCUUAUAACCAGUCUCAAAUUACAUUUAUUUAAUUUAAUUUGACUCAUGAACUCUGAUACCAUUUCAUAACAUUAAUUACACUAUAAAGCUUGUACUCGCUUCAGAAUCUUCUAAAACUGUUUCAGAGUAGUAAUUUAGGAUUAAUUUUGUAACUAUUAUAGAGUUUGUUUUGGAUAUUAAGUUUGUAACCGUCAGAAAACUUUAUUCUGGUAUUUAACUUUGUAACCGUUACAAAAUUUUAAUUCCACUGUUAAGUCUAAAACCUUUUAGAACAUUAAUUUGGUCGUUUGAUUCUAAAGUUGUUUCGUUUCAAAUCAUUAAUGUGAUUAUUGAUUCUAAAACUGUUUCGGAUUAUCAAUGUGACCAUUGAUUCUACCGUUGUUUCAGAUCAUUAAUGUAACCAUCGAUUCUAAAAAUCAUAUGGCCAUCAAGUCCAAAACCAUUCCGAAUAUUUAAUUUGGUUGUUCAUUUCCAAACUCAUUUCAAAUCAUUAAUAUGGCUAUUGAUUAUGAACUCGAUCUUUAAUAUGGGUGUAAAGUUUGAAACCAUUUUAGAUCUUUAAUUUUGCUAUUAAUUUUGAAACUCACUUUAGAUCAUUAAUGCGACCAUUAAUUCUAAACUCACUUCAAAUCAUAAAUGAGGCCAUUGAUUUUAAACUAAUUUAAGAUCUUUAAAAAUACCGUAAAGUCUAUAUCAAAUCUUUAAUUUUGCCAUUGGUUCUGAAAAUGUUUUAAAACUUCAAUCUUUAGCUUGAUUCAAUCUAAUUGUUGCAAUUGCAUACACAUUUGCAACAUUUUUUUCCCAUUCAAACGUCAUUCUAAUUAGUUAUGGUGUGUGAUGUCUUUGGGUUCAUGACUGAGCUAGUAGCAUGAGUUAUACUAAUACAUUAGCACAACUAAGAGAAUUUAUUGUUCUGAUCAAUUUCUAGUUCCUACAAACUAUAAGUGACAUCUAGUAAUAUGUUAUGGCUAUCCAAAUAACGUGAACAUUUCAAAAACAUAAUGAAUCUAGCUUUGGCGAUCAUGUAAUUCAAACAUUUUGUCUUUCUAUGUUUUGAUUCAAAGGCCAUUGAAUUGUUUGUUAAGCCAUUAAUUCGAUCAUAUGCCCAAAUUUUAUUGACAUGCACCUCUACAAGACAUGAACUAUUUAUUCUCGGUUACAAUUCCUAUAGAGAAUUUUAAUACAAUGUCAUAAUUAGAUUGCAUAGGAGAUCAUUAAAAAGAUAGAUUUCAUAUUGCAUAUGCAUGUGCAUUCAUAUGUAAACAAACUAUGACUAUUAAGCAUAGAGAUGGUUCGAUGGAGUGUAAAUUUUUGCACUUGUGAAUCAUAACCAUUCAAUAUACAAGUCAAUAUCAUGCCUUAGGUUUAAGGAUUUUACAUAAGAUCAAAGUAUGGACGAUUAGUUAUUGAUCUCGCUAAAAGUAGCUAAUUGUUCUAUGCAUGUUAUGUUCAUUGAACUUGUCCAAUACAAGUAUCCGUGUUCUAACUCAAAUAUCAUAAAUGACUUGUGACUCAUCAUCCCUUUCAUGGUGAAGCUUGAGAAUACGUCUGUCUGAAUAAGAUCAUUAAUAUUCUCUCAAUGAUUCAUCGAUGAGAAUUGUUUAAAGAUUCAGUUUAACACACGUAUUCUUAACACUUUAAGAAUAUGUUCAAUUGUAACUGAUUGUAUAAACUCAUUCAUACAAAUGAGACAAUAAAUGAAUAUUUUUUUUAUACUAUUGAAAUCCUUAAUAUGUAAUUAUUACACGAUUGCUUUAAGCAUAUAACUAACACAAGUCACUACUAGUGAGUCCAUAAGAAAGAUUUCCAUCUGUUAGUUGGCAAUGCCAUUUAAAUUGGCAAAAGAACACUUCAAGUGCCUUAACUUUGCACAAAGGGACACUUAAAUGCCAUAACUUACGAAAGGUACACUUAAGUGCCAAAAUCGGAGUAAAAUGGAUCACUUGAGUGCCAAUCCGGCCAAAAUCCGGCCAAAAUGCUGACGUGUCAAUUUUCCGGCGAAACAAGUGCGAAACGGCGUCGUUUUAAUGCUAAUGUGGCCAAAAACUUAAUAAAAAAUUAAUUUAAAACUAAAUUAAUUUAAAUAUUUAUAAAAUAUUAAAAAUAUUUAAAUUUUUAAAUUUUUAAAAAUUUAAAAAAUUUCAAAAAACUAAAAAUAUUAAAAAAAUUUAAAAAAAAUUAAAAAAUUCAAAAUUUUAAAAAAAAUUUAGAAAAUUUUGUAAAAAUUUUAUAAAAAUUUAUAAAAUUCUAUAAAAAUUGAUAAAAUAUUUAAAAAUUAAAAAGAAAUUAAAAAGAAAUUAAAAGUUAAAAAAAUAAAAAAAAAAUUCAAAAAAUUUUAGAAAAUUUAAAAAAAUUUUAAAAAUUUUAGAAAAUUAAUUAAUUUUAAUUUAAAAAUAAAUUUAUUUAAAAAAUUUAAAAAUAAAAUUUUAAAAAUUAAAAACAUUUGCAAAAUUAAAAAAGUUACAAAAAAAUAAUUUUUUAAAAAAAAGAAAAGGGUGCCGGUUGAGGGCUGAAAUUUUUUGUAAAUUUUUUAAAUUUCUGUAAAUUUCGUAAGUUUUUUAAAUUUUUUGUAACUUUCUAAAAUUGUUUGUAAAUUUUUUGAAUUUUUUGUAAAUUUUUUGAAUUUUUUGUAAAUUUUUUAAAUUUUAUGUAAAUUUUAUGUAAAUUUUGUAAAUUUUUUUAUAAAUUUUGUAAAUUUUUUGUAACUUUCUAAAAAAUUUUGCAAAUUUUUAAAAUUUUAAUUAUUUUAAUUAUUUUUUUUAAUUUUUUAAAUUUUUUCUAAAUUUUUUAAAUUUUAUGUAAAUUUUGUAAAUUUUUUGUAAUUUUUUGUAAUUUUUUUGUAACUUUCUAAAUUUUUUUGUAAAUUUUUUAAAUUUUUUAGUAAUUUUUUAAUUUUUUUUUGGAAUUUUGUAAAUUUUUUGUAAUUUUGUAAUUCUUUUUUUUUAAUGUUUAAAGUUUCUAAAUUUUUUAAAAAUGUUUUAAAUAAAUUUAUCUUUAAAUAAAUUUAUUUUAAAUUUAAUUUAAAUAAUUUUUAUAUUAUUAUAAAAUUCGAAUGAUGUCAAAACGACGUCGUUUUGGCCGAAUUCGAGCUGACUUAGCUCUCCGGCGAGACACAUCAGCGAGAAAUAUUAAUAUUUUAAUGCCACGUAUGAUUUCCGGCCAACUUAGGUGUCCCACUUUUCUUAAAAUGUGGCACUUAAGUGUACCUUUCGUAAGUUAUGGCACUUAAGUGUCCCUUUGGCCAAAGUUAUGGUACUCCAGGGGUCCGCACGUCCAUUUAAAUUAGAAGCAUGCUUUUAACGUUGAGAAUUCAAAAUUUGCUCAGAAGUCAAGUACCAUCCAUUAGUCAUCGGCAAAUACCCUUUCCAGUCCCAUCAAAGGCAUCUUCAGCUCUCAACUGUUACAAGAUCCGCUUCCUGAAUCAGUUAAAAACCUUAAAAAAUGAGCUCGAACCCAUGGAACAGCAUCUUCCAUGCCGCUCCCAAAUUUCAGCUCCUUUCGUAUUGUUAUGUAUCACCCGUGACGUUCGUUCUUGUGCUCCAUUUCGUCAACACAAGCAAGACUCCAACCACACUCUACCUGCUGUUUGUUCCGUAGUCGAAGCUUCUUCUUUUCUUGCCUGAAACGAGAAUCCGAAGCAUAGACCGUUCUUCUGGUUGCGGAAAGCACCACUGUGGAGAAAAGCCAAGAGCUUGCGCUGACCCAGAUGAGGAAAUCAGUUCAGAAGCUUGGUUCUUCGACGGAGGUGAUGAAAAUCUGUGUUCUUUACUAGUGAUGCAUUUUCGUAAUGGCUCUUGCAUGAUUAGUUUCGAGUGUUUUCAUUUGCUUAUCGUUGGGUUCGCAGAAAUUCGGCGAGCCAACGCUCAUGCGGUUCUUGAUUGCGAGAUCGAUGGACGCGGAUAAGGCAGCGAAGAUGUUCGUGAAAUGGCAGGAAUGGAGGUCGACAUGGGUCCCGAAUGGGUUCGUUCCAGAGUCGGAAAUAGGCGAGGAAUUGGAAGCUAGGAAGAUUUUUUUGCAGGGGUUGUCGAGAAGUGGUCAACCACUGAUGGUCAUCAAGGCCAGCAAGCAUUUCCCUUCGAAAGAUCAGCUCCAAUUUAAAAGUAAUAAGCUCUUUUCUCCUGCUCGAAUUUCAUUUUUCUUUUGAUUUUCCAUUUAUGUAAUUGUGCAGAUUGAUGAAGAAAUGCGCGUGACUAGAUGCAAAUGCUAGGCGAUCUUCAUAUGGAGAUAUGUAGAUGAUACUGUUGCUGCAUUGUUGCAUGUGCCGUCAAUCUGUAGAUGGUCCCUUUCACACGAGAUAAAAAGUUUCCAGCAUAUAGUGCAUCUUGGGUCAGAAUGACGUGGCCUUUAUGUUUUGGAUCCCUUUAUUUGUUUGUUGGCUAUUGACGAUAGCCGAAGGUCGUUCCCUCUAUCUCUGUCUCUCUCCCCCCUGUUCCCUUGAAUACCAGCCAAAAGGAAAUGAUUGACAUCAUUUUAUCGGUCACCCUCCAAACUAUUACUUUCUCAAAAAUGGUGGCCGGCGAUUCAGAAACCAGGCAGCCUGGUAUUAACUACCCGUUUUCCGCAUUAAUUAAUUACCUGAUCAUAAUGAAUGAAGGGAUCUCCAUCUUGGGCCCCGGAUGCACCCCCAGGAUCAACCUUUUGCAAUUUGGUUUAUGAUCAUACCUUUCCUGGCCCUUUGGCUAAGAUCGAACGUGCAA
Molecule: long non-coding RNA, 26437 nt
Filed under: Eucalyptus grandis
Lineage: Eukaryota; Viridiplantae; Streptophyta; Magnoliopsida; Myrtales; Myrtaceae
Description: long non-coding RNA (EGRA_LNC001016)
Source: RNAcentral